This 379-nucleotide ribosomal RNA is filed under the name uncultured eukaryote. RNAcentral's name for it is "partial 18S ribosomal RNA". It matches the Rfam family "Eukaryotic small subunit ribosomal RNA", at positions 592 to 976 of the family's 1831-position model. The record is from RNAcentral.
CAAUAGCGUAUAUUUAAGUUGUUGCAGUUAAAAAGCUCGUAGUUGGAUUUUGGGUCGGGGGCACCGGUCCGCCGUUCCGGUGUGCACUGGUGGCCCCUUCCUUUCUGCCGGGGACGCGCGUCGCACUUAAUUGGGUGGCGUUCGGAGUCGGCGUUGUUACUUUGAAAAAAUUAGAGUGUUCAAAGCAAGCCAUCGCUCUGAAUACAUUAGCAUGGAAUAACAUGAUAGGACUCCGGUCUUAUUUUGUUGGUUUCCGAGACUGGAGUAAUGAUUAAGAGGGACAGUCGGGGGCAUCCGUAUUUCAUUGUCAGAGGCGAAAUUCUUGGAUUUAUGAAAGACGAACUUCUGCGAAAGCAUUUGCCAAGGAUGUUUUCAUUAA